GCAUUCGCCCGACUCAGUGUCACUUUGGUGCCGGAGUUGACCCAGGGGCGCUGUCCACAGAGCCACACUGCGGCCCUUUUUGUGGCCCUUUUUGUGUUUAUUCCGAGACAGGGUCUGGCUGAGCUGCUGAGGCUGGCCUCCACCUUGCAGUCCUCCUGCCUCAGCCUCCAGGUGCCCUGGGAUGACAGGCCUGCGCCACUGUGCCCUGAACAAAUCAUCCUUUUACCAGUCAGGUCUACUUUUGUUAAGUGGCAACUGUACCAAGUCCCAGCACUUACAAUAUUUAUUAUUAUUAUUAUUAUUAUUAUUAUUUUGCAGAAAAAAAUGGCCCAUCCAUUGGCCACCGAGUUUAGUAAUGACAGCUGGGGUUUGCACUCCACAGCCUCUAAGCUGCUGGAUCCUAGAGUCAGGGCCUGUGGUCUCCCUGGAGGCUGAGCAGCUACAGAAACCUGCAAUUUAUAUGAGCUUGUGACUGUGGCCUCGGAACCUCCUAUUAACAGAAAGGGCCAAAGAAAAGCCUGUGGUUUCUUGUCUAUGUCUCUUUUUUUUUUUUUUUUGAGAAUUUUUUUAAUAUUUAUUUUUAGUUUUCGGCGGACACAACAUCUUUGUUUGUAUGUGGUGCUGAGGAUCGAACCCCGGCCACUCGCAUGCCAGGCAAGCGUGCUACCGCUUGAGCCACAUCCGCAGCCCUAUGUCUCUUUUUUUGGGGGUGGGGGGUGCCAGGGAUUGAACUUGGGGAGCCUUUGACCCCUGAGACCCUCCCCAGCCCUAUUUUGCAUUUUAUUUACAGACAGGGUAUCUGUGAAUUGCUCAGGGCCUCACUUUGGCUGAGGUUGGUUUUGAACUGAGAUCCUCUUUCCUCAGCCUCCGGAGUCCCUGGGAUCACAGGUGUGGGCCACUGUGUCAAGCAGACUUUUCUCUCACCUCUACCGUUGGGGCAUCCAGAGCAGUGCAUGGAGAGUGCUGGCACCCAGGGUUGGUUGGACGAGUCUGUGAAUCGUUUGGACCAGAGACCGCAUUUUUUUCCCCACUGAAACACAGUAAUAGUGACCAUUUCUUCCCUCUGUGCUGCAGACAUGUGGCAACAUAGUAGAGUUCAUUGAAAGCAAGAAGAUGGCAGGAAGAGCCGUGCUGUGGGUGGGACCUCUGGGAUCUGGAAAGUCCUUGUGCUCUCAUUGACUUCUGGUUCCCAAGAGGAGGAUCCUCACGUCCAAGCCAAAUGGAAUUCACAUCUUAACUAGUCUUUGUUUAGGGACAUGGUCACAUGUGUGUUUAAAAAAGGAAUCUGAUCUCAACUCAUACUUCUAGAUUGAAAAUCAUCCUGGCCAGUGGGAGGGGAAAGUCCUCAGAGGGGUCUGGUCACUGGGAUGGUCCUUGAACUCUUUCAAGUCUCCUUUGCUUGGGAAAUGCAUCUCUUUUUCUUUUCUUUUCUUUCUUUCUUUCUUUUUUCUUUUUUUUUUUAAAGCAGUGAUUGAAUUUGGGGACACUCAACUACUGAGCCACAUUCAUUUUUUGUAUUUUAUUUAGAGCCAGGAUCUCGCUAAAGGUGCUGAGGGCAUUGCUAAGUUUUUGAGGCUGGCCUCCAACUCGUGAUCCUCCUGCCUCAGCCUACUGAGCGGUAGGAUUAUAGGUGUGCAUCACCAUGCCCAGCUGAAAAUCCGUUUCUGUUGGUCCAGGGCCUUGUAAAAAAUUGUGAUGGGUUGUGGCUGUGGCUCAGUGGUAGAGCGCUCACCUCGCACGUGCAUGACACUGGGUUUGAUCCUCAGCACCACAUAAAAAUAAGUGAAAUAAAGGUAUUGUGUCCAACUAAAACUAAAAAAUAAAUAUUAAAAAAUUAAAACAAAAAUAUUAUAUCCAUGCACAAUUAAAAAAAUAUUAAAAAAUCUUCUGUGGCACAUUGUUGGAGGGGGAAAAUGAGUCAGCCAGUAUUUUUUCGAAUGCAGACUUUGCCCACCAUUAUUUUGGCUAUGCGCGUGAUUGACAAAUAACUUGUUAUUUGAUAAGACGUCUGUUCCAUCUGGUUCUCUUUAGCGUCUGCCAACCUAAGUGAGGUUACUGAGCAUCAAUUUAUAGUUGACCACAAGGUACGGUCAGGGGGAGCUUGUGCAGACCAACCCACCACUUCCAGAUUUGGCCUCACGUAUCAUCCACUAUUCGCCGGCCUUUUAACAUAAAAUGAAGGUCAUGUAAUAAAUCCUUCCUGAUUUUUUAGUGUUAUUUAUUUAUUUAUUUGGUCCCAGGAUUGAACCCAGGGUCGCUUAACCCCUGAGUCCCAUCCCCAACCCUUUUAUAUUUUAUUUAGAGACAAGGUCUCACUGAGUUGCUCAGGGCCUUGCUAAGUGGCUGAGGCUGGCCUCCACCUUGCCAUCCUCCUGCCUCAGCCUCAUGAAUCUCAGGGAUCACAAGUGUUCGACACCAUGUUCAGCCUCUUGAAUAAAUUUUUUUAGAUGGGUUUGGAUUAUGUUUUCAAGACUGUAAAAUGAAAACCUUUCCUUUCUUGCCUCUGUAGACAGCCCUGGCCCUGCCGAUUGCUCAGGAGCUUGGGAGUAAGGUGAAUUUCUGCCCCAUGGUGGGGAGCAAAGUUUACUCCAUGGAUAUCAAGAACAAAGAAGUGCUGAUGGAGAACUUCCACAGGGCUAUUGGUGAGUUUCACGUUGGAGUGACAGAUGGCUGUUACUUCUCUGGUGCUUUGAAUCCUUUCAUCUUAAAAAUGCUUCUGUGAUGUGUUGAUUGGACUGCUUGUGUUCUUUUGGUGCUGUUGACAAGACAGGCAAGAGCAGCCAGCCAUCCCAGCAGCUUGGGAGGCUGAGGUAGGAGGAUCACAAGUUGGAGGCUAGCCUCAGCAACUAGUGAGGCCCUGAACAACUCAGCAAGACUCUGUCUCUAAAUAAAAUAUAGAAAGAGCUGGGGACAGGGCUCAGUGGUCGAGGGCCCCUGGGUUCCAUCCCUGGUACCCAAAUAAAUAAUAAAUAAAUAAAAAGACUAAGAAGUCUACUUGGGGAGCUUUUGAUUUAAUGCUGGAGGAAAGAAAAUGCAGUGGGAAGGUGCAGUGUUUGGAAGUGGGGAGAUGUCAUGGGACCCUGUUUCACCCCCCACAGCCAUCUGAUUUCCUGGUGGUUGGCACUCUGGCUUCCUGUGGUGCCUCUCUGGGGGACUGGCUCUGCCUCUUGAUCUUCCCCAGCAGGUCCCUGUAAGCACUCAACUAUGGGCUCACGCUCUCUCUCUGUCUCUCUGUCCUCUCUGUCUCUCUGUCCUCUCUGUCUCUUUCUCUCUGUCUCUCUCUCUCUCUGGACCAUGGCCACUGAGCCAUCCCCAGCCCCUGUGUUUCACUAAUGAUAAACUGAAGAGUUCUAAUUCUGAACUGUGUCCAGGAGCUAAGCUUUGUGUCAC
Molecule: long non-coding RNA, 3390 nt
Filed under: Marmota monax (woodchuck)
Lineage: Eukaryota; Metazoa; Chordata; Mammalia; Rodentia; Sciuridae
Rfam family: tRNA (bases 1703-1773)
Source: RNAcentral